AUGGAAAUGCUCCUUAAAACUUUGGGUACUUUGAUGCUCAAAUUCUUGAUAGCUGUUGGAUGUGUCGGGAGUAGUUGUGAAUGGAAACUCCAUUUUCAUCUUGGUCAACAGGUCAUGAUGAAGCGGUUGUGGUGGGCUUGUUUUGGGGACUGUUUUGACCAACUUCAACUAGACAUUGUCCACAACCAUUUAUCUCCUUCUGUUUGUCUUGAACAAUGCUGGAGGCAGAAUGCCACCCAUAAAAUAUAG
Non-coding RNA from Vicia faba (fava bean), 249 nucleotides. The record is from the annotation of a GenBank genome assembly. Lineage: Eukaryota; Viridiplantae; Streptophyta; Magnoliopsida; Fabales; Fabaceae.